Non-coding RNA from Phoenix dactylifera (date palm), 472 nucleotides. NCBI's taxonomy places the organism in Eukaryota, Viridiplantae, Streptophyta, Magnoliopsida, Arecales, Arecaceae. The record is from RefSeq and is a predicted model, not a curated record.
GCAGGGAGACAUUCUUGUUGUAUCAAUAUCAUCGAAUAUACUUUAUAUUAUAUUUAAUGUAGCUUUCUUCUUGAGAACAUGAUUUUGAAUUAAAUAUUCUGGCAAAACUUUUCCUGCCUGUCUAGCUACUAUCUCUGCUUUAACUAUCAUAGCUGGUAUCCCAGUAGUUUAGGAUACCAGCUAUGAGUUUUUUUUAAGAGCUACGACAUUGGCAUCUCAAAUAGAGCAUCAUGAAAUACGAAAAUACAUGCUCUUCUGAGAAGCAUUAUCUUCAUUCCAGACAACAUAUUCGGACAUUUAAACAUAUCAACAACUUGCAAGGAUAAGAAAUCAAACAGUAGGGAUUGUAGGUGAAGAGCCCUCUCUUUCACCCCUUUCACCGACACUGUUAUCUGCAAACUUUAAGCUUGCUGAGUGUUCAAUCGGUAUUCUAAUAGAAUGGACAAAAGUUGGAUAAAUAAGUUAAGAUCUA